GGAAACGGUGCCAUGCAAAAAGUACACGUAUAUUAUAGUUGCAGAUAUUGUGUUUCUUAGAUCUCGAGUCAAUAUAGUAUCGAAAGAUGACAAGGCUGUGUCCAUUACUUGGGCAGGAACAUUUGAAUAACUAAAGGGACUGGAUAACAGAUCACCAAGCUCGUAUUAGAAGAUAUGGCAGAAGUCUUUUUUCACGUGAGUGUAACCCAGAUAUGUAAGUAACUGUGUUCUGAUAAUCUCAAUUUUGAUUUAUUUCAUAACUGGAAUAGAAUUUGACAUUCACUUUGCCAAAUGGCAAACGCAUUUGUGAAAAAUAAGGUCACGCUUUUGUUGCUUAAUGUAGAGAUGCCUGGCUCCAAUCCAUGAAAGGUAAUUAACAAAAUGUCUCUUCCUCAAUCCCACUCACCGUUAAAAACGAAUUAAAAUAUCACCGAUGAAUUUCUUCGUUUAUUUUCAUAUCACUUGCCACGAUCAAAGAUCACUUAAGACCAUCUGUGUAAACUGAACUGUGCCUGCGUAUUGUUUAUUAAAGAGACCCAGGUGGUCCAUGGCAUGGAUGCUAAGCGGUAUGUCACGGACUGUGGAGAGGUGCUAGGUUUAUCUCUAGGACGAACAUCAGCGCCUGUUGGUAAUGUGUUAACACUUCACCGUUUGAGUCUCGCGCAUGGGUGAGCGUGAUACGUCGAAAUUCGAGAAACGCAAAGACACAGAGCCUACAAGCGGAGGGGAACGCUUGGUAGACGCUGGAAGAGUCUGCGCUGGAUAAUAUUUUAGAUAUAUGAAGACAGAUUGAUAGCACCCUGACUGAGAUGGCUACUUUAUUUACGUUUCGAGUUUUUAAGAAGCCAUUUUGUGAAGCCGUAGACGCGUGUUGCAUUCCGUAAACGCCAUCGCUUCACUGAAAUCCCCGAUUCGGACGCGCAUCUGCCUCUUGUAAUUUAUUUGAGUGAUAAUGUUUUCGUAGACAAGAAAAUCCUUCGAACUGUAAACUGUUGAGUCACUCCGUCCAGGUUUCUAGCCGUCAGCGCCUCUUGUAGCACACUCACACGACGCUGUGUCGAGCAAUUUCCCUGCACGCCAUAUAGCCUCAACAUAUUGUUUCCUUUUAUUCUGCAUAUUCAGAAAACGCCAACAGCCAUCUGCUUGAAAUCUCAUUAGCCUCUCCGCCAGAACUGCAGUAAAUAUCAAUAAACUUGCCAUCCACCUGGGCAUGUUCGGAGUGUGCAUUACAGGAAAUAUCAUAGUAAACCAACCCCUUGGGUCAUUAUUCAUGGUAUUUAUUUGGCUAAGGAGUCCUACACCUGAUUAUUACUAUGAAAUACGAGGCUCGGCUUCGCUGGAAUCUUGCAGUCGCAGCUGAGUGAAGGGCAAGAAAGUAGUAGAUUAUUGGGAGUUUCCGAUUCACGCUGCUACUUGGAGUGACUUAUUGCCGAUUGAAAGUUUUUCCUGCUUACGGAUUGAUAGCUUAAGGAUUCUUUCUCCAUUCAUCAGUUGUGUUGUUCGUAUUCAGAGGAGGAUAUUGGGGUGCCAAUGGGUCGCAGAGAUGACGACGGUGGCGGGAGGCGAAGGUCAAGGUCGUCAGGAAGUAGGUCAGGUCGCGCAGGCCGAGACCAAAAAUGUGCCAAACAAAAAGAGAAGCGUCACGCCAAGAAAGGCGAAUGGCGACACGUGAAAAGCCAACACCUCAAACGACGCUUCGACAUGCACGGUCACCACUCACACCAUUCCCAUAAAUCCAGCAACACCGUCGGAGGACUUGUUAAAUUGACUGCCCCCAAUCCAUCGAUGUACACCCACCAAAACAGCACAAUCUCCACGUCCAGUUCUGACAUUGAGACUCAAGAAACUCCCACGAGGCGAAAAACUCACCGUGGGAUAAGUCACAUUUCUGAGGUGUCCCUUAUGUCGGACAGCUCUGAAAAGCAGAACAAAAGUGGUCGUAAAUGUUGCCGGAUAUCAGUGAAUUGUAUUUGUAAAUUUCUGGGUGGUGUUGGCGCACUGGCCGUGGUCGGGGUACUUCUGCUGUUGUUUUUAUUGUAGCGGCGCAAAUUGACGGUGAUCUUCAAUUAAUUGUAUGGAUCUGAUCUUAAAACUCGAUUUUAAAAAAUGAAAGGACAGAAAGGUUUACUCUACAUUAACCACGCACACCGAUACAAAAUGCGACGGGAUUUAUGCUGCAUGUACGUGUACAGUAACGAAAAUGUGAAAACAAAAAAUGUAAACUUCAUAUUAGCGGAUAGAGUGGAUGGUGCUGUGUUCAAUGUUGACCAGAAUGAGGACCCUCUUGUGGAAAACAGGCAUCAUUGAUAUAAGAAUGCAAUUUGAAACAAAACAAUAAACAAGAUGGAAUAGAAAAACACGGUUAUCCAUACAUGUACCACCAGCAACAUAUACCUUUUUCAUGGAGGUUUAUAUUAACUCCACAUCUGCAAACAUUUUUCAUUAACCCUCGGAUUAGAUUUGCGGUGAGGAUAAUGAUGUCAACGUGAGUAAUUUCCCUUUAAAUGAGAGGAAAUAGGAAUAUAUUUUUAAUAGAUAAU
Molecule: long non-coding RNA, 2540 nt
Filed under: Lingula anatina
Lineage: Eukaryota; Metazoa; Brachiopoda; Lingulata; Lingulida; Lingulidae
Description: uncharacterized LOC106156574, transcript variant X2
Source: RNAcentral